GAUCAUGGCUCAGGAUGAACGCUAGCGACAGGCUUAACACAUGCAAGUCGAGGGGCGGCAUGAUUCGUAGCAAUACAGAUUGAUGGCGACCGGCGCACGGGUGAGUAACGCGUAUGCAACUUACCUAUCAGAGGGGGAUAGCCCGGCGAAGUCGGAUUAAUACCCCAUAAACAGGGUCCCGCAUGGGAAUAUUUUGUUUAAAGAUUACAUCGCUGAUAGAUAGGCAUGCGUU
RNAcentral lists this ribosomal RNA (232 nucleotides) under uncultured bacterium. RNAcentral's name for it is "partial 16S ribosomal RNA". It matches the Rfam family "Bacterial small subunit ribosomal RNA", at positions 15 to 237 of the family's 1533-position model. The record is from RNAcentral.